This 520-nucleotide unclassified non-coding RNA is filed under the name uncultured Glomus. RNAcentral describes it as "SSU rRNA". It matches the Rfam family "Eukaryotic small subunit ribosomal RNA", at positions 569 to 1087 of the family's 1831-position model. The record is from RNAcentral. Lineage: Eukaryota; Fungi; Glomeromycota; Glomeromycetes; Glomerales; Glomeraceae.
AGCAGCCGCGGUAAUUCCAGCUCCAAUAGCGUAUAUUAAAGUUGUUGCAGUUAAAAAGCUCGUAGUUGAAUUUCGGGAUCAAUAUUUCGGUCAUGCCGUUGGUAUGCACUGUUAUCAUUGAUUUCUCACCUUCUAAAAGAACCGUAAUGCCAUUAAUUUGGUGUUACGGGGAAUUAGGACUGUUACCUUGAAAAAAUUAGAGUGUUUAAAGCAGGCUCACGCUUGAAUACAUUAGCAUGGAAUAAUGAAAUAGGACAUCCGAUUCUAUUUUGUUGGUUUCUAGGAUCGAUGUAAUGAUUAAUAGGGAUAGUUGGGGGCAUUAGUAUUCAAUUGUCAGAGGUGAAAUUCUUGGAUUUAUUGAAGACUAACUACUGCGAAAGCAUUUGCCAAGGAUGUUUUCAUUAAUCAAGAACGAAAGUUAGGGGAUCGAAGACGAUCAGAUACCGUCGUAGUCUUAACCAUAAACUAUGCCGACUAGGGAUCGGAUGAUAGUUAAUUUUUAAUGUACUCAUUCGGUACC